GACGAACGCUGGCGGCGUGCUUAACACAUGCAAGUCGAACGGAAAGGCCCUGCUUUUGUGGGGUGCUCGAGUGGCGAACGGGUGAGUAACACGUGAGUAACCUGCCCUUGACUUUGGGAUAACUUUAGGAAACUGCGGCUAAUACCGGAUAGGAGCUUCUGCUGCAUGGUGGGGGUUGGAAAGUUUCGGCGGUUGGGGAUGGACUCGCGGCUUAUCAGCUUGUUGGUGAGGUAGUGGCUUACCAAGGCUUUGAAGGGUAGCCGGCCUGAGAAGGUGACCGGGCACAAUAGGACUGAGGGACGGCGCAGACGCCUACGGGAGGCAGCAGGGGAGAACAUGGCACAAUGAGGCGAAGCCUGAGACAGCAGCGCCGGGUGCGGAAUGACGGCCUUCUAGCUGUAAACCGCUGUCGCCGGUGACGAAGCGUGAGUGACGGUAAUGAAUAAAAAAGCACCGGCUAACUACGUG
This 468-nucleotide ribosomal RNA is filed under the name uncultured bacterium. Its description in RNAcentral is "partial 16S ribosomal RNA". It matches the Rfam family "Bacterial small subunit ribosomal RNA", at positions 28 to 507 of the family's 1533-position model. The record is from RNAcentral.